CCCUUAGAUGUUCUGGGCCGCACGCGCGCUACACUGUUCGACGCAGCGAGUCUUAACCUUGACCGAAAGGUUUGGGUAAUCUUCAGCAAAGUCGAACGUGAUGGGGAUCGAUCAUUGCAAUUAUUGAUCGUGAACGAGGAAUUCCUAGUAAGUGCAAGUCAUCAGCUUGCGCUGAUUACGUCCCUGCCCUUUGUACACACCGCCCGUCGCUCCUACCGAUUGAGUGAUCUGGUGAAUAAUUCGGACUGCAGCACUGCUUGGUCUCCAGGCUUUGCAGCGGAAAGUUUAGUGAACCUUAUCACUUAGAGGAAGGAGAAGUCGUAACA
RNAcentral lists this ribosomal RNA (326 nucleotides) under uncultured eukaryote. Its description in RNAcentral is "partial 18S ribosomal RNA". It matches the Rfam family "Eukaryotic small subunit ribosomal RNA", at positions 1470 to 1796 of the family's 1831-position model. The record is from RNAcentral.